AAAUAACCUAAACUUAGACUCUACAUAUAAAAUAAUGCCUAAAUCAGCAAAAGUUGACAAAAAAACACACAACCAAAAGGAAGACCUAAGAAUUAGAGAGAUACACUCUGCAAAAAGCUGAGCGCCGCAAGAAAUGUACCAUCCCCUGAUUUCGUCUUCUCCAAAUGACCCACCCCCUAAAGUUCAUCUCCCUCAACAGACCCCGCCCCAAAAACGACCCCUAAAUUUCAAAAACAACAGUCACCAAACCCCACGGCUUCACCUCCGUCAGAAACCAGAUGCACGACGCCACCAGUCGUGACUCGCCUCAACGCCCAACAACCUCUUGCCUCCUCCAUCUCCAUACCCCAAAACCUUCAUCACUCUCAUAAACACACACACAUCGAAGCAUAAACGAAUGAAAGGGGAGGGGAAAGGACUGACUCUGCUACUACAAUGAGAAAACAUACAAGAUGUUUCAGUUUCUUUUGUCAGUUUAAUUUUGAAGAAGGAAAUCACAACAGAAACAGAGAUAGUCUUUUCGAUUGUCGGAGUUCACUUUCUAAGCUCGUUUUUGCUAUUGUGUAGUGCAAUAUAUCUAUAUAUGUGAAUGAUAAUCUUUUAUUAGCCCUUUUCCCUUUUAUGAUAAGUGAACAAUCGUUUUCGUUAGCCUAUCUAAGGACAUUUAU
RNAcentral lists this long non-coding RNA (668 nucleotides) under Nicotiana benthamiana. Its description in RNAcentral is "long non-coding RNA (NBEN_LNC040686)". Lineage: Eukaryota; Viridiplantae; Streptophyta; Magnoliopsida; Solanales; Solanaceae. The record is from RNAcentral.